GAAUGGCAUCACGAAGGUUAUACUGUCUCCUUUCUCUAAUCAGUGAAACUAAUCUUCCCGUGAAGAAGCGGGAAUCUACAUAUAAGACGAGAAGACCCUAUGGAGCUUUAAACGAAAUAACAACUACCACAAUAAAUAAUAAUUCCAGAAGCUUAACUUUUACCCAGGUAUUUUGUCUAUUAGUUUUAGGUUGGGGUGACCGCGGAGCAAAAGACAACCUCCGCACUGAACGGGGCCAACCCUAAGCAAAAAGCUACAACUUUAUGUAUCAGCACACUGACACCAAUUGACCCAAUAAUUUGAUCAACGAACCAAGUUACCCUAGGGAUAACAGCGCAAUCCAUUUCAAGAGCCCCUAUCGACAAAUGG
Molecule: ribosomal RNA, 369 nt
Filed under: Proceratophrys boiei (Bioe's frog)
Lineage: Eukaryota; Metazoa; Chordata; Amphibia; Anura; Alsodidae
Description: partial 16S ribosomal RNA
Rfam family: Bacterial large subunit ribosomal RNA
Source: RNAcentral